GUGUCAGCCGCCGCGGUAAUACGUAGGUGGCAAGCGUUGUCCGGAAUUAUUGGGCGUAAAGGGCGCGUAGGCGGCGUCUUAAGUCAGAUGUGAAAACCCGAGGCUCAACUUCGGGCAUGCAUUUGAAACUGAGAUGCUCGAGUGCAGGAGAGGAAAGUGGAAUUCCUAGUGUAGCGGUGAAAUGCGUAGAGAUUAGGAGGAACACCAGUGGCGAAGGCGACUUUCUGGACUGUAACUGACGCUGAGGCGCGAAAGCGUGGGGAGCAAACAGGAUUAGAAACCCGGGUAGUCC
RNAcentral lists this ribosomal RNA (292 nucleotides) under uncultured bacterium. RNAcentral describes it as "partial 16S ribosomal RNA". It matches the Rfam family "Bacterial small subunit ribosomal RNA", at positions 505 to 796 of the family's 1533-position model. The record is from RNAcentral.